Molecule: ribosomal RNA, 499 nt
Filed under: uncultured bacterium
Lineage: Bacteria
Description: partial 16S ribosomal RNA
Rfam family: Bacterial small subunit ribosomal RNA
Source: RNAcentral
AUUGAACGCUGGCGGAAUGCUUUACACAUGCAAGUCGAACGGCAGCACGGGAGCAAUCCUGGUGGCGAGUGGCGAACGGGUGAGUAAUGUAUCGGAACGUGCCCAGUCGUGGGGGAUAACGUAGCGAAAGCUACGCUAAUACCGCAUACGAUCUAUGGAUGAAAGCGGGGGAUCGCAAGACCUCGCGCGAUUGGAGCGGCCGAUAUCAGAUUAGGUAGUUGGUGGGGUAAAGGCUCACCAAGCCGACGAUCUGUAGCUGGUCUGAGAGGACGACCAGCCACACUGGGACUGAGACACGGCCCAGACUCCUACGGGAGGCAGCAGUGGGGAAUUUUGGACAAUGGGCGAAAGCCUGAUCCAGCAAUGCCGCGUGCAGGAUGAAGGCCUUCGGGUUGUAACUGCUUUUGUACGGAACGAAACGGCGAACUCUAAUACAGUUUGCUAAUGACGGUACCGUAAGAAUAAGCACCGGCUAACUACGUGCCAGCCGCCGCCGUAA